Molecule: ribosomal RNA, 468 nt
Filed under: uncultured bacterium
Lineage: Bacteria
Description: partial 16S ribosomal RNA
Rfam family: Bacterial small subunit ribosomal RNA
Source: RNAcentral
GACGAACGCUGGCGGCGUGCUUAACACAUGCAAGUCGAACGGAAAGGCCCUGCGUUUGUGGGGUGCUCGAGUGGCGAACGGGUGAGUAACACGUGAGUAACCUGCCCUUGACUUUGGGAUAACUUCAGGAAACUGGGGCUAAUACCGGAUAGGAGCUCCUGCUGCAUGGUGGGGGUUGGAAAGUUUCGGCGGUUGGGGAUGGACUCGCGGCUUAUCAGCUUGUUGGUGGGGUAGUGGCUUACCAAGGCUUUGACGGGUAGCCGGCCUGAGAGGGUGACCGGCCACAUUGGGACUGAGAUACGGCCCAGACUGCUACGGGAGGCAGCAGUGGGGAAUAUUGCACAGUGGGCGGAAGCCUGAUACAGCAACGCCGCGUGCGGGAUGACGGCCUUCGGGUUGUAAACCGCUUUCGCCUGUGACGAAGCGUGAGUGACGGUAAUGGGUAAAGAAGCACCGGCUAACUAUGUG